RNAcentral lists this ribosomal RNA (263 nucleotides) under uncultured Syntrophomonas sp. RNAcentral describes it as "partial 16S ribosomal RNA". It matches the Rfam family "Bacterial small subunit ribosomal RNA", at positions 1113 to 1382 of the family's 1533-position model. Lineage: Bacteria; Bacillati; Bacillota; Clostridia; Eubacteriales; Syntrophomonadaceae. The record is from RNAcentral.
AGUUGCCAGCAUCGUUGGGCACUCUAGAGGGACUGCCGGCGACAAGUCGGAGGAAGGUGGGAUGACGUCAAAUCAUCAUGCCCUUAUGACCUGGGCUACACACGUGCUACAAUGGAUGGUACAGAGAGCAGCGAGGCAGCGAUGUGGAGCGAAUCUCAAAAGCCAUUCUCAGUUCGGAUUGGAGUCUGCAACUCGACUCCAUGAAGUCGGAAUCGCUAGUAAUCGCGAAUCAGCAUGUCGCGGUGAGUGCGUUCCCGGGCCUU